Long non-coding RNA from Ananas comosus (pineapple), 406 nucleotides. RefSeq lists it as uncharacterized. Lineage: Eukaryota; Viridiplantae; Streptophyta; Magnoliopsida; Poales; Bromeliaceae. The transcript is spliced from 6 exons. The record is from RefSeq and is a predicted model, not a curated record.
CUUCUUCGAGAAGUCUCUCUCUCUCUCAAACACACACUAAAAAGCAGAGGAGUUUGAGGAGGAGGAGAUCGAUCGACCAUGUUUUACUCGCAUCAACUACUUGCAAGGAAAGCUCCUCUCGGCCAAAUUUGGAUGGCGGCUACACUGCACGCGAAGAUCAAUCGGAGGAAGCUCGAUAAGCUCGACAUUAUCAAGAUAUGUGAGGAGAUCCUGAAUCCGACAGUUCCGAUGGCUUUACGGCUCUCUGAAAUCUAAUGGGUGGUGUAGUCAUCGUCUACGAGAGGAAGGUGAAGCUCCUCUAUGAUGAUGUGACUCGUUUUCUGGUAGCAAUUAACGAGGCGUGGAGGGUUAAACCAGCCUCCGACCCCACCGUUCUCCCAAAAGGGAAAGCACAAGCCAAGUACAC